CCCUCCGGCCGGGGACAACACUCCGAAAGGGGUGCUAAUACCGGAUACGAAGUCUGUGCCGCAUGGUACGGAUUUGAAAGAUGGCCUCUAUUUAUAAGCUAGUCGCCGGGGGAUGGGCCUGCGUCCGGAUUAGCGUGGUUGGUGGGGUAACGGCCUACCAAGGCGACGAUCGGUAGCCGGUCUGAGAGGAUGAACGGCCACAUUGGGACUGAGACACGGCCCAGACUCCUACGGGAGGCAGCAGUGGGGAAUCUUCCGCAAUGGGCGCAAGCCUGACGGAGCAACGCCGCGUGAAGUGAGGAAGUUCUUCGGAACGUAAAGCUCUGUUGUUCCUGACGAACCUCCCCUCUAUCAACAACGGAGGGGAACUGACGGUAGGGAACGAGGAAGCCACGGCUAACUACGUGCCAGCCGCAGC
Molecule: ribosomal RNA, 418 nt
Filed under: uncultured bacterium
Lineage: Bacteria
Description: bacterial SSU rRNA
Rfam family: Bacterial small subunit ribosomal RNA
Source: RNAcentral